Molecule: long non-coding RNA, 1700 nt
Filed under: Olea europaea subsp. europaea
Lineage: Eukaryota; Viridiplantae; Streptophyta; Magnoliopsida; Lamiales; Oleaceae
Source: RNAcentral
GGUUAAUAAAAUAUAAAACAUGCACACACAAUUGGCAAGGGGGAAAAUUUUUGAAAUGGAAAUUUAGUUACUUAAUGGUUUAUUUUAAUAUUCUUGGCAAAUCCAAGCUGAGGAAUGUUUAAAGCAGGAAAAGGACAUGGUUUUUCAUUGUCUUUAUUCAAGUAGUGAGACUAAGUUGAUUGAGGUUUGUCCUGCUCUUCUUGGCAAAUCCAGACUAAGUUUUUUGAGUUUGUCCAGCUCUUAAAAAUGGGUGACGGUUUUGUGGAGCAUCCUGAUUUGUUGAAGAAAUUUAAGGGUUGGUUUCCGUCUAUUUUAAUUUUCUCAUCUUAUGAUCAUACAUUGUUUUUGUUUGUUACGUAGAUAGUACAGUAUGAGUUAUCUGUUUAUGUCAUCCAACUACUAGAGGAGGAGACCUAUGCUUGUCAUUUAUUGUUUAGGGAUGAUAAGGUACACAUACUGCUGUUGCUAUAAAUGGUGGAACUAUUUUAUUUAAUUUCAAUCCAUUGAAGUGGUUUCACAUAUUUUUUGGUCGACAAAUAGAGGAAUUUUCAAGAAUAUAUAGGCUCUUCUCCGACAUACCUCGAGACUUAGAGUCUGUUGUUGAUCUAUUUAAGUAAUUUGUGGUCUGCUUAAGUCUUUUAAAAGUCGACUUUUAUUUUUCAAGUCCUCUGUUUCUAAUAUAUAAUAUCAUCUUGAAUUCACAGUAUAUGCUACCAACAAUCAACUUGUGUGAAUUCAAGAUGCCAUUAUAUAUUAGAACUUGAAAAAUAAACGUCGACUUUGAAAAGACUGAAACAAAUCACAUGCUUAAAUAGAUUAGCAAUAGAUUGUAAGUCUCGAGGUAUAUUGGAGAAGAGCUUAUAUUUUCUUAAAAAUUCCUGUAUUUGUAGAUCUAAAAAUAUGUGGAUGCACUUCAAUAGAUUGAAAUCAAAUAAAAUAGUUCCACCACUUGCAGUAUGUGUACCUUAUCAUCCCUAUGCAAUAAAUCACAAGGUCUCCUUAUCAAAUAGUUGGAUGGCAUAAACAAAUAACAACUGAUACUUUACUAUCUACAGGAACAAACUAUAUAUAUGAUCAUAAGAUGAGAAAAUUCAUAGACGGAAACCAACCCUCAAACUUCUUUAAACAAAUUAGGAUGCUCCAUCAACCAUUUUUAAUAGCCGGACAAAUCUCGAGCAACCGAGUUUGAAUGAAGACAAUGAAAAAUCAUGUCCUUUUCCUGCUUUAAACAUUCUCAGCCUGGAUUUGUAAUGAUUAGUUGACUCAAAUACUUGUUUGAUUAAUCAUUAUGUGGAUAUUGUGCAAUCCUAAAAACAUAUAUUGUGAUUUCUGGUUUUAUGAAAAUUGUUUAGUUCUAUAGAGAUACUAAUAUCUCAAUUAAAUUGUGGUGUGAAUUGAACUUUGUUGGAUAAAUUAAGUUUUUACGAUCAACUUAUGGUGUGAUUUGAACUUAGUUGGGACUAGAAAUUUGGUUGGUCACUUAUUUACUGAUGGAUAUUGCUCAUUGGAAGUUCUUAGCUCCUCUUCCUAGUUUAUGUGCGAAAUUAGUCGAGUUACAACAUUUUUACUCCGAAUUUAGUGAGAACCAGGCCUUGUAGACGAAAGAAUCGAACUUUUUUGAAAAACACAAGAAUAUAAAUAAUGAUGUCAAAACUUAAUUAAUAUUAGUUAAAGAAAAUGAAAUGGAAAUUUGACUGGUG